Molecule: ribosomal RNA, 200 nt
Filed under: uncultured bacterium
Lineage: Bacteria
Description: partial 16S ribosomal RNA
Rfam family: Bacterial small subunit ribosomal RNA
Source: RNAcentral
UACGUAGGGUGCGAGCGUUGUCCGGAAUUAUUGGGCGUAAAGGGCUCGUAGGCGGUCUGUUGCGUCGGGAGUGAAAACUCAGGGCUUAACCCUGAGCCUGCUUCCGAUACGGGCAGACUAGAGGUAUGCAGGGGAGAACGGAAUUCCUGGUGUAGCGGUGAAAUGCGGCAGAUAUCAGGAGGAACACCGUGGCGAAGGCG